GGUUGUGGCUCAGUAGUAGAGCACUUGCCUAGAAUGUGCAAGGUCCUGGGUUCAAUCCUUAGCACCA
RNAcentral lists this transfer RNA (67 nucleotides) under Marmota monax (woodchuck). RNAcentral describes it as "tRNA.Ser". Lineage: Eukaryota; Metazoa; Chordata; Mammalia; Rodentia; Sciuridae. The record is from RNAcentral.